This 455-nucleotide ribosomal RNA is filed under the name Nostoc sp. HG1. Its description in RNAcentral is "partial 23S ribosomal RNA". It matches the Rfam family "Bacterial large subunit ribosomal RNA", at positions 1810 to 2271 of the family's 2925-position model. Lineage: Bacteria; Bacillati; Cyanobacteriota; Cyanophyceae; Nostocales; Nostocaceae. The record is from RNAcentral.
AAAACACAGCUCUCUGCAAGUCGUAAGAGACGUAUAGGGAGUGACACCUGCCCGGUGCCGGAAGGUUAAGGAAGGAGGUUAGCCGUAAGGCGAAGCUUUCGGACCGAAGCCCCGGGUAAACGGCGGCCGUAACUAUAACGGUCCUAAGGUAGCGAAAUUCCUUGUCGGGUAAGUUCCGACCUGCACGAAUGGUGUAACGAUCUGGGCGCUGUCUCAGCCAUGAGCUCGGUGAAAUUGUGGUAUCGGUGAAGACGCCGGUUACCCGCAACGGGACGGAAAGACCCCAUGCACCUUCACUACAACUUAACAUUGACAUCGGGUACAGGAUGUGUAGGAUAGGUGGGAGGCUUUGAUCUGGGUUCGCUAGGAUUCAGUUAGCCAACGUUGAAAUACCACCCUUUUUGUAUCUGGUUUCUAACCCCGCACGCCGGGGGACAUUGUUUGGCGGGUAGUUU